UACGGAGGGUGCAAGCGUUGUCCGGAAUCACUGGGCGUAAAGGGCGCGUAGGCGGCCUGGUAAGUAGGGGGUGAAAUCCUGCGGCUUAACCGCAGGGCUGCCUUCUAAACUGUCAGGCUUGAGCACGGUAGAGGCAGAUGGAAUUCCCGGUGUAGCGGUGGAAUGCGUAGAGAUCGGGAAGAACAUCAGUGGCGAAGGCGGUCUGCUGGGCCGUUGCUGACGCUGAUGCGCGAAAGCCAGGGGAGCGAACGGG
RNAcentral lists this ribosomal RNA (253 nucleotides) under uncultured bacterium. RNAcentral describes it as "partial 16S ribosomal RNA". It matches the Rfam family "Bacterial small subunit ribosomal RNA", at positions 524 to 776 of the family's 1533-position model. The record is from RNAcentral.